RNAcentral lists this ribosomal RNA (254 nucleotides) under uncultured bacterium. RNAcentral's name for it is "partial 16S ribosomal RNA". It matches the Rfam family "Bacterial small subunit ribosomal RNA", at positions 524 to 776 of the family's 1533-position model. The record is from RNAcentral.
UACGGGGGGAGCAAGCGUUGUUCGGAUUUACUGGGCGUAAAGGGCGCGUAGGCGGCCAGCACAAGUCAGUUGUGAAAUCUCCGAGCUUAACUCGGAAAGGUCAACUGAUACUGUGCGGCUAGAGUGCAGAAGGGGCAACUGGAAUUCUCGGUGUAGCGGUGAAAUGCGUAGAGAUCUGGAGGAACACCGAUGGCGAAGGCAGCCUUCUGGGCCAACACUGACGCUCAUGCACGAAAGCGUGGGGAGCAAACAGG